CUGCAGCUCUGCAGGCUGAACUGGAGAGCGGGCGGGGGCAGCUGCAGCUGCCUUGGAAACCGCGGCGACGACUGCGUUAUCCCUGGCUGGGCAGCCCAGCGCCAUUGGGUAGCCUAGACAGCUCAGUGGCUGAGGCGCCAUCCUUUCUCUGCAGGGCCUAAGAAACGACACAGCUAUUCCUGGCGCAGGAUCAUCCAUCCGCCGUUCUUCUUCGGAGUCCAGCCCAUCAAAGCCGAUUGCAAACUUGAAUUCUGUGUGGCUGAUUGCGGAACUGUCUAACCUAGAGGUUCAGAGGACCCGGAUCUGAGAGGCCUGUGGACAGAGAUCAACCCUACCCAGGACCAGAACUCCCACGAAAAGCACCUGUUGCAGAGGCUGAAUUAAAUAAAGGUGAAGGCCAGCUUUCGAGCUCCGUUCCUACCCAAACCCGAGGGAGAUACUGCCCAGGAACGUUGCUGCCCAUUGCGCUGGUUCACAGAGAGCCCAAGCAUCUUGUAUUCCGAUAUCCAAUUGUUGUCAGACAUGGCUAGCAUCCUUGCUCGGAUGGGCAACAGCCGAAGGCAGAAUACAGCUUUUCUGCCUUUGGCCCAUUCCAUGCUGAGGGCCCUGGGGAGGAGUCUCGGUCC
Non-coding RNA from Peromyscus maniculatus bairdii (prairie deer mouse), 626 nucleotides. The record is from RefSeq and is a predicted model, not a curated record. NCBI's taxonomy places the organism in Eukaryota, Metazoa, Chordata, Mammalia, Rodentia, Cricetidae.